This 493-nucleotide unclassified non-coding RNA is filed under the name Didymella macrostoma. RNAcentral describes it as "sequence contains 18S rRNA gene, ITS1, 5.8S rRNA gene, ITS2, 28S rRNA gene". The stretch from base 195 to 348 matches the Rfam family "5.8S ribosomal RNA". The record is from RNAcentral. Lineage: Eukaryota; Fungi; Ascomycota; Dothideomycetes; Pleosporales; Didymellaceae.
AGGAAGUAAAAGUCGUAACAAGGUUUCCGUAGGUGAACCUGCGGAAGGAUCAUUACCUAGAGUUGUAGGCUUUGCCUGCUAUCUCUUACCCAUGUCUUUUGAGUACCUUCGUUUCCUCGGCGGGUUCGCCCGCCGAUUGGACAAUUUAAACCAUUUGCAGUUGCAAUCAGCGUCUGAAAAAACAUAAUAGUUACAACUUUCAACAACGGAUCUCUUGGUUCUGGCAUCGAUGAAGAACGCAGCGAAAUGCGAUAAGUAGUGUGAAUUGCAGAAUUCAGUGAAUCAUCGAAUCUUUGAACGCACAUUGCGCCCCUUGGUAUUCCAUGGGGCAUGCCUGUUCGAGCGUCAUUUGUACCUUCAAGCCUUGCUUGGUGUUGGGUGUUUGUCUCGCCUCCGCGUGUAGACUCGCCUCAAAACAAUUGGCAGCCGGCGUAUUGAUUUCGGAGCGCAGUACAUCUCGCGCUUUGCAUUCAGAACGACGACGUCCAAAAGU